Molecule: ribosomal RNA, 253 nt
Filed under: uncultured bacterium
Lineage: Bacteria
Description: partial 16S ribosomal RNA
Rfam family: Bacterial small subunit ribosomal RNA
Source: RNAcentral
UACGUAGGGGGCAAGCGUUGUCCGGAAUCAUUGGGCGUAAAGAGCGUGUAGGCGGCCCGAUAAGUCCGCUGUGAAAGCCCAGGGCUCAACCCUGGGAUGCCGGUGGAUACUGUCGGGCUCGAGUCCGGAAGAGGAGUGUGGAAUUCCUGGUGUAGCGGUGAAAUGCGCAGAUAUCAGGAGGAACACCAAUGGCGAAGGCAGCACUCUGGGACGUGACUGACGCUGAGACGCGAAAGCGUGGGGAGCAAACAGG